This 253-nucleotide ribosomal RNA is filed under the name uncultured bacterium. Its description in RNAcentral is "partial 16S ribosomal RNA". It matches the Rfam family "Bacterial small subunit ribosomal RNA", at positions 524 to 776 of the family's 1533-position model. The record is from RNAcentral.
UACGUAGGGUGCAAGCGUUGUCCGGAAUUAUUGGGCGUAAAGAGCUCGUAGGCGGUUUGUCGCGUCGAAUGUGAAAACCCGGGGCUCAACCCCGGGCCUGCAUUCGAUACGGGCAGACUAGAGUUCGGUAGGGGAGUCUGGAAUUCCUGGUGUAGCGGUGAAAUGCGCAGAUAUCAGGAGGAACACCGGUGGCGAAGGCGGGACUCUGGGCCGAUACUGACGCUGAGGCACGAAAGCCAGGGGAGCAAACGGG